RNAcentral lists this ribosomal RNA (405 nucleotides) under uncultured bacterium. RNAcentral describes it as "partial 16S ribosomal RNA". It matches the Rfam family "Bacterial small subunit ribosomal RNA", at positions 30 to 526 of the family's 1533-position model. The record is from RNAcentral.
AUUGAACGCUGGCGGCAGGCUUAACACAUGCAAGUCGAGCGAGCGGCGGACGGGUGAGUAAUGUCUGGGAAACUGCCUGAUGGAGGGGGAUAACUACUGGAAACGUUAGCUAAUACCGCAUACCAUCAGAUGUGCCCAGAUGGGAUUAGCUAGUAGGUGGGGUAAUGGCUCACCUAGGCGACGAUCCCUAGCUGGUCUGCGAGGUUGACCAGCCCACCUGGAACUGGGACACGGUCCAGACUCCACGGGGAGCCAGCGGUGGGGAAUAUUGCACAAUGGGCGCAAGCCUGAUGCAGCCAUGCCGCGUGUGGGAAGAAGGCUUUCGGGUUGUAAAGCACUUUCAGCGAGGAGACGUUACUCGCAGAAGAAGCACCGGUUAACUCCGUGCCAGCAGCCGCGUAAUUC